Globicephala melas (long-finned pilot whale) is the source of this 4530-nucleotide non-coding RNA. The record is from RefSeq and is a predicted model, not a curated record. Lineage: Eukaryota; Metazoa; Chordata; Mammalia; Artiodactyla; Delphinidae.
GGAAGGACAGCGCGGGGUGUGGCAGCGUGGGAGUCGGGACACCCAGGAAGGGACGGAGGGGUGGAUUGGAGGAAAGGGGGAGCGCUUCGGGCUCCAGAGCUUGGAGCGCGCUGCGCUCACAUUUUCAGCCGCCCCCCUCCCCAGCCCACCUCUCAGUUUUACCCUAGGUCCGUGCUCCUCCCCGAGAGCGCCUCGCGCAAUGACCAUCGGACACGUUCACGGGCACCCACUUGACACCAGCAUAAUUUUGCACACUUGGAGUCCAGACACUGACAGGCUGGUACACCGGUGUGCUGAUGUCACGUACAAUGACAAACCUUCGCGACGACACACUCAGACCCCCACCUUCGUACACUAUUCCAACCCCACGCUGGCACGCUCGCCAGUGCACGUACACCCACGCACCCGGGCACACUUGCCCACACAGGCAGGUGCACUCUGCCCCUUAGUUCUCUCGCCUUCUCCCCAGCAGAGCCAAUCUGGCUGCGCCAGGGCGAGGCUGCUCUGUCUAAAAUAACCUAACAAAGAGGCAAGGGGAGGAUGGGGGAAGCCAGUGCGGUGUGUGUGUGCCGGUGUGGGUGCGGGUUGUGUGGCGAGGCCCACUUUCAGCCAGAAGUCCCCUCUCCCUCCUACCCGGCACAGGGUCCAAACAAUCGGACGAAGAAAACACGUUUCCAAGGCAAAGAAAGCUGCCUCUUCGUACCCGUGAUUUCCCUGCUCCCGAAACCCCAAACUCCUUUAAAGUCUCCUGGUCCCCAUGGGUGCUGCGGAGGUGGUGGUGACGAGCGUGUCCUGGGCGGCGCGUGGGGCUGUGGCUCGGCUCUGCCCCGCGCGGAUCCGUGCGGUGCGGUCCCCGCCGCGAUGCCCGUGCGCCUGCCGGUCCACGUUGGCUGGGGCGCCUACUCCACCUGGGCAGUCCCGACUCCGUUCUGGUUUCCUACAGCCCAGCCGACGACUCUAAGUAGCCAAAGCAGCUGGCUCCAGGGCCCGCCCCCGGACGCGCUCAUUGGUUGGGGCCGAUGCCCAGUGCUCGUCAAUCUCUGCCGGAGGGGGAGGGGAGCAGGGGCGGGUCUCCAGCGUGCGCCCUGCCACGCCACGCCCCUUCCCGCCCCGCCCUGCCCCCGUACACCGGAGCGCGCGCCGCCCCCGGGGCUAGGUGCGAGCGCCGGCCGGGAGCGCGCGAGGGGCGGGGCGCUUCCGUACGGCGGCUCGGCCGGCUUCCAUCCAGCAGCUUCGCCUACCGAUCGAGACUGGGCGCGCCGUCAGCCUGCGUUCUGUGUUCCGGGAGAACAGACUCCAGCGACGAAGCUGAGUCUGAGGGUGGAGAAAAAUCCCCAGUGCACCCCGAGCCUUUUGCGCGGCCCGGGGCGGGGAACGACGUUGUCAGAGGCGGGCACCCGGGGACCCUGCUGAGGACCCCUGAGCCUGGGUUCCUGAGGGCCCCUGGGCUGGUCCUCGGCGCACAGACUUUUUCCUGACGGCCACCGAUCCCUUUGAAAUUGUGCCUGCGGUGUUCGGUUCAUCUCCUUUGACCUGUGUGGAGCUGCUGACCCAGCACUGGCGCCUGGUUUAAAAGGAGCGCGGUGUCCAACACGAAUGAAAAGGCGGAGCCUUGACCACCCCCCUCCCUGACUGGGCCUGAGUUUGGCCUCCAAGUCUGUCUGUGAAGGGGGCGCAUCACCAAUGUCGACAGUGGGACAUAAUCUUGCUUCCCAACCCCCAGAACUGCCAUUGCUAAGGGAUUGCUAAGGGAUUUUUGUUUGGUUUCGUGGGAGAAGGGUGUCCAGCAGUAAUUAAUGAUGGCAUUCCUGGUUGGAAAGUUAAUGAAUGUGCUCUGGAUAUGGGAUGCUGAAAGAUGACUUUCACACAUGUGAAAUUUUAGAUCGACAGUUUAAAAAGCUUAUAACGUUAAGUCCUGAAGAGUUCUUAGACAUCUAGUUCUACUUUCAAGGCUGGGCUCCAGCAGCUUCUCGGUGGAGCCUACUCUCUUUACCCAGGGAAAACUGGGUGCUUCCUCUUUGUGCCCCCUUGGCAGCUGGUACAAACUCUUAGUGCUCUCAUCCCAUUUUAUUACCAAUCUCUGUUGACUUUCUUCCUCUUUAAAAAGUGAAUGCCUUCGGGAUUGACUUGUGUUCUACAUAAUUUUGUAUUCUGGACCUUUUUAACAGUACUUUUUAACAGAAUGGGUUCCAUCAGCAGUAAUGAAAAUGAAAACAGUCAACAAGUAUUGACCACUUACAAGUUGCUAGGCACUACGUCUUGGUGUUUAAGUAAAUGACUUAAUCUCCCUGCCUCUGUAGGGGAUUCACUAACAUCCCCACUGCAACAAACGAGAAACUGAGGCCCAAAUACCAGCGCCAGCAAUCUAUCCAGGCUCUAUGGGAUUUCAGGACCAGUCUUUAACCUGACUCUGCUGUUGGUUGAAUGAAUAAAAUCGUGUUGCAUAAGUGUCUCGACAACGUCAUGGAAGAGGCAGUGUGGAGAUGUUGCUAUGGAAGAUGUUGAGUGAGGGCUGAAGGAGGCUACUUCAUUCACAGACGUCCACUCACCUGGACCAGUUCGCUAUAUCAAACACCUAUCAGUACCUGGAACAUACUAGAUAAUGUCACUGUUAAUUUUUUAUGGGAUAAAGAAAUGAGCCAUAAAACAUCGACAUGAAGCCAAGAAGUCACUUUCUCCUACCUAAAUCAAGAAGUUUUAUAAAUUUCUUUUCAUCAAAAUGGAACUGAGGGCUUCCCUGGUGGUGGCAGUGGUUAAGAAUCUGCCUGCCAAUGCAGGGGACACGGGUUCGAUCCCUGCUCCGGGAAGAUCCCACAUGCUGCGGAGCAACUAAGCCCGUGUGCCACAACUACUGAGCCCGCGUGCCACAACUGCUGAGCCUGCGUGCCACAACUACUGAAGCCCGCACACCUAGAGACCUUGCUCCACAACAAGAGAAGCCACCAACGUGAGAAGCCUGCGCACCACAAUGAAGAGUAGCCCCCGCUCGCAGCAACUAGAGAAAGCCCAUGUACAGCAACGAAGACCCAACGCAGCCAAAAAUAAAAACAAAUAAAUAAAUGUAUUAAAAAAAAUGGAACUGAAAGGUUGGCUCUUUACAGCCACCACAUAACAUCCCCACAGAAAGAGAAAGAGCUACGCCCAGUUAUUUUCUGUAUUUGCAAGAAUGUGAAGAAGGGUGAUGAAAUCAAAUAGCUAUAGCAGUCAAUAUGCAGUUAAAGAAAACUCUAUUUUUGUCUCUUUUUUAUUCCAGCUUUAUUGAGAUAUAAUUGACAUAACAUUGUGUAAGUUUAAGGUAUACAAUGUGAUAAUAUGACAUAUAUAUUGUGAAAUUAUCACAAUAAAGUUAGUUAAUGCAUCUAUCACUUCUCAUAAUCACCAUUUUUUGUGUGUGGUGUGAACACUUAAGAUCUACUCUAAUUUUCUUUCUAAUUUUCAGUAUAUAAUAUAUAAUACAGUAUAUAAUACAGUAUUAUAGACUAUAGUCAUUAUGCUAUACAUUAGAUUCCCCAGAACUUAUUCGUCUUACAGCUGGGAGUUUGUACCUUUUACCAACAUCUUCCUCAUUUUUCCUGCCUCUCAGCCCUUGACAACUACCAUUCUACAAUGUUUCUAUGAGCUUGUAUUUUUCAGACUCCACAUAUAAGUAAGCUGCUAUAGGAAAACUCUAUUUCAAAGUUUGAGUCUUGGAUGAACGCAGUCAAAAGGUACAAACUUUCAGUUACAAGAUAAAUAAGUACUAGGGAUGUAAUGUACUACAUGUGAAAUAUAAUUAACAUUGCUGUAUGUUAUAUAUGCACCUUCUAAAGAGAGUAGAUCCUAAGGGUUCUCAUCACAAGGAAAACAUGUUAUUUUUCCCUAUUUCUUUAAUUUUGUGUCUAUAUGAGAUGAUGUUCACUCAACUUACUGUGAUCAUUUCACGAUGUAUGUAAGUCAAAUCAGUAUGUGGUACACCUUAAACAUUACAGUGCUGUACGUCAAUUAUAUCUCAAUAAACCUGCCAGAAAAAAUUCUGCUAACAAAAGUAAAAUGAAUACAUAAAAAUAAUAACGUUUGAGCCUUUGCAGUUGAAGGACAAAAGCUUUUACAGUCCAUACUGAUAUCAUGAACAAGGGCCAACAUGGGCUGAUGUAGGGACACAGAAAUAGACCAGUCAACCAUGGAGUCCAAAUGACAACAGAAGAACAUUCGAAUCAGAACAGAGGAAGACUCACCAACUGUGCUCAGCUAAAUGUUUCGCCAAAACUCUAAUUUGGACACAUCAGAGACAUUCUUCUGUAUUGUGGAAUAUCAUAUGUCUGUGCUAACAGGCUAAACAGAGCUCAUUUCUGAGCAUGAGCUCCUUCCACACUAAUCUCUAAUUGACCUUAAAGCCUUCAGUAUAAAAAAAAAAAUACACAUACUGUAGGAUCACCAGCUCUUGUUGGUCCAAAAUGAGUUCACCAGUAAGAAAUCCCUCUUAAAAAACUGAAGAAGAAUAAGGCCUCCUUGCUUGCUCUGUUUGGAACAGCCCUAAAAAUACAUGUCAUC